Herpailurus yagouaroundi (jaguarundi) is the source of this 6681-nucleotide long non-coding RNA. RefSeq lists it as uncharacterized. The record is from RefSeq and is a predicted model, not a curated record. The transcript is spliced from 4 exons. NCBI's taxonomy places the organism in Eukaryota, Metazoa, Chordata, Mammalia, Carnivora, Felidae.
UUCGGGGUCCCUGCCUGCGACGUGGAGGCGGGGGCUCAGGAGUCCCUGCUCAGGGAGUUGAAGGCGGGGUUCGGGGUCCCUGCCCCAGACGCGGAGGCGGGGGCUGCCCUCUGGGCGCAGUGGCAGCUGCGGGUAACGAGCGCUUCCGGCGCGUCAGCCGCUAAAUAUAAAGUGCUGAGCGCAUCUUCUCUUUUAAUCCCUCCCCUCCCCCAAACCUGCGGUAGCUUCGUGUCCCUUAAAAUAAAUCCCAGCCCGCUACCAGCGCCUCAAAGCCCCGCCUGGCUUGGCCUGGCCCGCCCGGCUCCAGCCCGGAGGCCUCCUGGGCGUCCUCGGUGAGAGGCGGAGAGGGGGGCUCCGACUGUCCCUGCGCGGUCAGCCACUCAGAGCGCGCACGUGUGCGCUGGCUUUUUGUCCGUCUCUCCCUCUGGCCCGGCCCAUCAGAUCAGGGAUUAGUGCUGGGCCCUGGAAGAAACUUGGUGCAUGGGGACCAGCAUUUUAUAAAAAUGAAACAGAAUAAAACGGAAACUAUCAGGGCAUCCCACAUAGAAUAUUGUUUUGUGUUGAGGCCAUUUACAUGUGUGAAUAUUUACGUGGGUACUGGGUCAAAUGUGGGAUGCGUUUCUUACCAGAGUGCCAAACAAACGAAUGAAAGCCACUGCAGAGAACAACUUGAGCCGCCCCACAGACCAGGCGUUCUGACUCCCCUGGUCUUACAGAGGAGGACUGAGAUCCAGCACAGGAUAGAGGAGCUGCUGGCAGGACAGGUGCCUGCCCGUCACAGAACACUCUGGUCCCACUGGCACUCAGCCAUGGCCAGUACCAGAAUUUGAGAAAAGGGAGCGGAAGAGAUGGAAAAGUCUUCCAAACGUAUCUGCCAAGAGCUACCUGUACGUUUUAGACCUGGUUCUUGACUCGUGGAAAAUUGCAGUGGUGAGAGCAAGGACAGGACGGCCAUGGGAUUAGUGUAGCCCCACUGAGAGAGCUCUCUGGGGAUCCGGGCCUCCUGCUCCUGGGACAGAGGUAGGGCUCUCCCUCGCUGUGGCACAGCCUUUCCCUGGGAGCACACCUGUCUGGAGUAGCUGUCGUCCCCUGUCCCCUGAUCAUCUCUGCAACCAUCUGGCCUGGUUGUCCCCCCGUGCAGCCAUGCAGCCGCAGCCCUCCCCUCCACUUUCCAGCUCUAGAACAUGACUUGCCCAAUGUUACAGAUUCUGUGCCUCCCAGAUCCUGGUUUCUGGGCCACAGGCCUCUGUGUUGGAGGAGGUGGGGGAGGACUCUUCACUAACAGCAGUUGGUUCUGCCUUGGAAAAGAGAGUUAGACCCGAAGCCUCAGGACCAGGGUGUGGUGUCAUUCCUGGAGACCUCCAAGAGCCUGCUAGGCUUCUUGGUGUGCAGCUAGGUGGUUCCCUGAGGACAUUAGCCACGGGGCAAAUGCCCAGGCAGGGCAGAGGCUAAAAAUAUAUGGGGCACACAGGCCCAGGAAUGCCAGUCCUACCACCCAUUCCUUGGUGUCCUGCCCAGAGCGGAGGGUACUUUGCAGAAGGUUUGAGAAGAGGAACGGUUGUGGCAGUACCUAAACUUGACUCUGGAGGUCAUCGGCGUGGUCUGUGUUCCAAGCUGGGGCACACCCAUCCAGCACGUCCACCCUAGACAGCUCUUCACGGAGCCUAUCUAUCGCCAAGCCUUAGACUCCUGGGGUGGGGAUGGGGGGGGGGUGGACGGAGAGACUGCUGAGGAGCUGGGAAACCCUGAGCAGUUCGGACUCCCUCUCUCAGUUUCUCCGUUUGUCCAACAGAGAUUAUAGCUGUGCUGCCCAUCUCGUCAGUGCUGGUGAGGAGCCUGGAAGACCGUGCCCGUGGGGGCCUUGGCAGGGGCCAGGAGCCCACCGCCUGGGCCCACCCAAUGGGAAGCUGGCUGUGCCGAGGACCACCCACUGCAAACAUGAGCCGCUUACCUAAGCACCUGCUGUGUGUAUGGAGAAGAGUGAAGCGGGCCCUCAUGAGGACAGGUGUGAAUAUGUGGACGUGGGACGCCUCCCGGGUCCCAUCACAGGCUGGCAGCGUCACACGGCCAGCGUCCUGCAAGAGGAGGGCACAUUGCCACAGCAUAUCACUGUGACUCUGAUGUCCCCCUGAGGAAGUAUGGGCCACGUGACCGUGGGUAUGCUAGGUAUCACUGCUUGCUAGGAGCAAAACGUAACAGGUGAGUUGAUUCAAAGACACGUCAGUGAUGGGUGAUCUACAGAGCAAGUCAAGUCAGUGGCCUGAAGCGUGGGAGCGUGCCAGCGGGGCAGGACCUCACCCGUCUCCUGAGGCUGGCACAAGGGAGGCGGGUGCUCGCUUCUGGGGAAGCCCUGGCCCAGCUGCAGGUAGCGCCGCCCGGAGGCAGCCGAGAGUACAGGCGGGCUGGGCGCAGAGAUCAGGGCUGGCUUUGAAGGUGCCACCUACUAGGCCUUCCCAGCAGGGAAAGGGGCUGGAGGCCCGGGGUGUUGGGGGUGUUCGGUGGCCGGAGGAGCCGGGAGGGAAAAGACUGGAAGGGGAUCUUGUUGUUCUUCCGGAGCCAAGAAUUCUGAGGUCUGACCUGCUCUCUGUGAAUCCUGUUGAAAUCCAUUUCCUCCUGCCCAGGGCCCUACAGGGCUGUUUUCCUUAGAGACACGAGGAGCACCGGUAGGUGAGGGCCUGAGGUUCAUGCAUCUUGUUCCCCCUCUCCCCUCCCCUCCCCCUGCCCUCUCCCCUCCCUCUCCACCCUUUCCCAGUUAAGCACUCUGGUGUGAGGGAGCUAGGGAGUGAGAAGUCCAAGAAAAACAUUAGGGCCCCGACCCCAGCAAGCCACAGCCACCUUUCCCGGCUUCCCGCUGGGCAGAGGGCUGAGCAGAGUUGGCUCCCCGAGGGGAGCUGCCCCUCAGAAGUUCAGAGGGAAACGCUUCGAGAUUCUGGAAAUAGGAGAGGGCACCAGAGGAGGCCCGAGGGGCUUCUCUCCUGAUGGCGGUCAACUCCGCUGCUGCUCCCCAAAGCUUGAAGAGUGGGGACAGUGUGGGGGGACAUGUUCCUGGGCCUCACCGCUGGAACCCGGCCCGGGGCCUCCUGGCUGUGGGCUCUCCCAGCGUCCAAGACGUCUAGACCCCACCUCAGAGAGACGAGCACUGAAUGUGCAAGGAGCUGCUCACGCGGGACCAGCGCACAGAAGAACCCAGUCAUGCCCCGUCCCGGAUCCCUGCCUGCGGGGCCCUGGCGGUGAGGGUGACAGCCUGGGUGGGGUACGGGCGGCCUCAGGACCGCCGCCGGAGCCAUCCUCAGCCACAGGGCCCUGCCACCUCUUCCCUCUGCCUGGGGCCCCUCUCGGCCUUUCCAGGGAAGAAGAGACAUCCAGGCCGAGAGGGGCCCGGAGGGACAGCCUCCCGGCAGGUGAGGGGGUGGUUGGGGGUGGCCUGCUGAGGACAGAGCUGGACAGCAAAGUGGCAGAUGGCCUGGGGGUGGCUCCUGGUUCCCCCUCCCCUGCUAGUUGGUGGGGGCCCCUGAUGGUGUCACCCUGCCCCCCACCAGCCUGAGAGCCCUUGCACGGCCGGCCUGGCUCGAGGGGAGCGUGCCAUUGUCGUCUGUCGGGCUCAGCUUACAGGGGCCGUGAGAGCGGCCAGCACAGCGAGUCGGUCCGGGCCGCCUGCCGGCCACCUGGACCUUGUCCCCUGACAGUUCCCGAGGGAAGAGGGAAAGGACGACCAAGUGACCAAGGCCACAGCUGAGGACAGGCAUUCAAGUGACAUUUCUUGAUGUUUCCAGAAGACUUCCCCCCCACUGGCCCACCUCUGGCCAGUGUUUCUACUGAGUGGUUGGAGCCACGCUGCUCGUAUUAGCACCUAGUGCCUCUCAUGAAGACCGGCAAACCUCCAGGAUCAUCAGCCCCUCGACAGAGCAGGCCAGGUCCCCUGUGAAGAGCCCCGGAUCUGACUGGCCCUGGAUCUGGCAGCCAUCACACGGGGGCCCAGGUGACAGCAGCACAGCCUUCGAAGUUCUGAAGAAGCUGCGUUUGGAAUCCCAGAAGCUCUACGCAGUGAAUCUUGAAAGAGGGCUGCCUAGGGCCACCUGCAGGUGACAAGGGGCCCCACGCACCUGUCCCAGGAAGCUGCCAGAGGAUGCACGAAGAGUGGCAGGGGGCCCGUGGAGGGGUGCACGGAAGCCAAGCAGGGCUCGCUGACACCGGGAGAGCUGGGGCAUGGGGUCCCCUUCCAGCACAGGGACACGCACCCCCGGGUGGCCAGUGGAGGAAAUGGGGGGUGGAGGGCCCUGGAAAGGGGCAGAGCCCCCACACUCUUGUGUCAACUCCAUAAGUAGACGUUAGGAAAUUGCCACAGGCAGGCUGCAGAUGGGGGUCCUGCCGGGGUGGGAAGGAGGGGGAGGUGGGCUGUGCUUCCUUAAGACCGACUUUGCUCCGAUGCUAAGUCCGUCCUAAGAGAACUGGGGAGACGGCCUUCUGCCCGCGCCCUGCCCCCAUCCGGGAGAGCGGUCGGUGCGUCUGAGGGGAGGCAGUGCUGACGGGACACGCAGGGAUGGGUGGGCUGUGCUGUCCAGACAUGGCCAGGUGGUGAGAAUGGGCCCUCCCGAGGCUGUCACAACCGGUGGCCCUGGACCCUCGGGUCACCACACCAUCGAUUCUUUCAUUAACUGCUUGAUUGAUUAAUCCCCUGGCCACUGAUGCAUUUGUGCCACCGACGUCCGCUGGGGGCCUUCCACAUGUGAGACCCUUGCUGGGUGCCAGGAUGGAGCCAGGAUCGACACCGGACAGCCACGGGCUGGCCGGAAGGUGGCCUUGGGGGCGGAAGCUGGGAGGCGGGCCAGUGUCCCCAGCAGGGUGUCAGGUCGGUGAGGAAGCCCAGAGAGGCCUUGCGGCAACCGUGCUUUUUGCUCAGGCUCCGAGAGAUGCCCAUUGCUUCCCCUCCCCUGGGUGGCACGGGCGGGGACGCAUGCCAUGCCACCGCUGUCGGCGGGCCUGGGCCUAGCAGUGUCCUUGUUGCUGGGACGUUCUCACCCUCCUGACAGGACGGCGGAUUGAGGGCCCUGCAGUCUGCCGGUCGGCCUGGGGGGCCCUGACUCCACACGCCGCUGGCACUGUGUGCCCCGAGGCACCUCGUCCUUGGCCGUGCCGCCCAGGACAUUUGCACAGCUGUCCCGCACAGGCUCUGUGUCUCUUUUCACGUGUCCCUCCCGCUCUGUGGAUCAGGCCAGGCUGGCUCCUCCCCGCGCCCUGGUCCUUGCACACAGAGUGAAGGGCACAGAGAUGACAAACUUGAGCCCCAGGCCAGCCCAAGGCCAUGCAGCAGGAGGGGACAGAGGAGGGACCAAAGCCAUUCUGGGUGACCAUUACCUGCCUGGCCCUGUGUCUACACCACUAGCCAGUGGGACAGUGAGGAGACCAGCCCAGCACAGGUAAUACCUAGUGCCCAGCUGCCCUGCCUUUGCAGGAGAACCCCUUGCUGGGCCCUCACCUUGCCAUGCCUGAGUAGGCCUGCUCCCACGACACUGCCUCCUGGAAGCCCUCCUGGCUCCCUUCCAAAGCAGCACUUCUGUAUCACCCUGCUGACUGUCCUUGUGCUACUCUGGCUCUGACUCCCUGACUCACGGCCUUUCUGAUUUCCUGUCACCCUCCCGUGCCGGCACGUGUCCCCGGAGCCCAGCACAGGCCUGGCGCACGGUGGCGUCCGGGAGGCGUCGGCCAAGGAAUCGAGGAACACGCUCCCCUCCCCACAUCGUGGAAGGAGACGCCUGCGUGUGGAGUCCCUGCCCCGUGGAAGUCUGUCCCUGGACCCAUUUCUCUCCUCCCCCCACGUCCGCCCGGGAGGCCCCUGGUGGCCCCUGCCGCAGGCCCCCAGGGCACGGGCUGCGCGCCUGCGUGCCAGCGUCCGCAGCUAGCCGCGUUCCCGGGAGAAGCGUGCGUUUCUGUCCCCGCUGUCCGGCAGGGAAUGUUCGCGGCAGCUUUCUUCGCUGUGGCCCUGCCACUUGAAGGGCAGGUAUCCAGCCGGUGGAGAACCGUCUGCACACGCGGGCCUCACCUGCCCGGGGAAGGGUUCCCGACACCAAAGAGAAGUCUGGGGCUCCGGGAGCCUGACCCAGCGUCGCCCCACGACCCUGGCGCUCCCCUCCGAGGGGGGUGCCCAAGACAGGCGACAACGAGUGCGCACAGCGGCACCGUUCCAGAGAUCGAACAACCCAACAUCCGCCAGCCAACGGACGGGUCCAGCAAACGCGGUCUCUCCACCGGCAGAGUGUCACUCGGUCUCAACAAGGAGCGAGGCAUGGACACUGCCGCGUGGACGAGCCUUAAAAACACAGUGCAGAGUGAGAGAGGCCGGGCCCGAGAGGACACACGUCGUAUGAUCCCAUUUGCAGAAAAAUCCACAGGGACAGAAAGCGGCCUCAUGGUUGCCAGAGACUGGGGAGACAGUGGGGUAAGGACUGACUGUUUCCAAGUCUCCUUUGGAACGAUGGAAUGUUCCGGACUGAGAGGGGACAGCUGCACAACAGUGCCAAUGUACUCAAUGCCACUAAGUCUUAUACUUUGACGUGGUUACGGUGGUGGAUUUCAUGUGGUGUGCAUUGUAUCACAAUACAAAUCAACCCCUCACAAAAAUAAAACAUUGGGAGUGGAAGAGCGUGAACUCUGCCUAGUUCCACUGACCAAGUUUCUGUAUGA